CUGACUGACCGAUAGUGAACCAGUACCGUGAGGGAAAGGCGAAAAGAACCCCGGCGAGGGGAGUGAAAAAGAACCUGAAACCGUGUACGUACAAGCAGUGGGAGCACGCUUAGGCGUGUGACUGCGUACCUUUUGUAUAAUGGGUCAGCGACUUAUAUUCUGUAGCAAGGUUAACCGAAUAGGGGAGCCGAAGGGAAACCGAGUCUUAACUGGGCGUUAAGUUGCAGGGUAUAGACCCGAAACCCGGUGAUCUAGCCAUGGGCAGGUUGAAGGUUGGGUAACACUAACUGGAGGACCGAACCGACUAAUGUUGAAAAAUUAGCGGAUGACUUGUGGCUGGGGGUGAAAGGCCAAUCAAACCGGGAGAUAGCUGGUUCUCCCCGAAAGCUAUUUAGGUAGCGCCUCGUGAAUUCAUCUCCGGGGGUAGAGCACUGUUUCGGCAAGGGGGUCAUCCCGACUUACCAACCCGAUGCAAACUGCGAAUACCGGAGAAUGUUAUCACGGGAGACACACGGCGGGUGCUAACGUCCGUCGUGAAGAGGGAAACAACCCAGACCGCCAGCUAAGGUCCCAAAGUCAUGGUUAAGUGGGAAACGAUGUGGGAAGGCCCAGACAGCCAGGAUGUUGGCUUAGAAGCAGCCAUCAUUUAAAGAAAGCGUAAUAGCUCACUGGUCGAGUCGGCCUGCGCGGAAGAUGUAACGGGGCUAAACCAUG
Molecule: ribosomal RNA, 714 nt
Filed under: Escherichia coli
Lineage: Bacteria; Pseudomonadati; Pseudomonadota; Gammaproteobacteria; Enterobacterales; Enterobacteriaceae
Description: bacterial LSU rRNA
Rfam family: Bacterial large subunit ribosomal RNA
Source: RNAcentral